RNAcentral lists this ribosomal RNA (449 nucleotides) under uncultured bacterium. RNAcentral's name for it is "partial 16S ribosomal RNA". It matches the Rfam family "Bacterial small subunit ribosomal RNA", at positions 29 to 523 of the family's 1533-position model. The record is from RNAcentral.
AGCGAACGCUGGCGGCAGGCCUAACACAUGCAAGUCGAACGAAACCUUCGGGUUUAGUGGCGGACGGGUGAGUAACACGUGGGAACGUGCCCUUUGGUUCGGAACAACUCAGGGAAGCUUGAGCUAAUACCGGAUGUGCCCUUCGGGGGAAAGAUUUAUCGCCAUUGGAGUGGCCCGCGUAGGAUUAGCUAGUUGGUGGGGUAAUGGCCCACCAAGGCUCCGAUCCUUAGCUGGUCUGAGAGGAUGAUCAGCCACACUGGGACUGAGACACGGCCCAGACUCCUACGGGAGGCAGCAGUGGGGAAUCUUGCGCAAUGGGCGAAAGCCUGACGCAGCCAUGCCGCGUGAAUGAUGAAGGUCUUAGGAUUGUAAAAUUCUUUCACCGGGGACGAUAAUGACGGUACCCGGAGAAGAAGCCCCGGCUAACUUCGUGCCAGCCGCCGCCGUAA